UAUUGGAAAAACAAACAAUAACAUUAUGAGAUCUCGGUUUUAAAAAAUAAUCAUAUUUAAUGAAAGAACAGGAUGGAAAAGAGGUUACAUUUACAAAGGAGAAUAGUUUAUAGGAUUCGUCUUUAUAAAAUUUUAUAUCGAAAAUAUUGGGAAAAGACUAGAAAUAAAGUAUAUACCAUUAUUUCGAAUAUGAAUAGCAUAAAUUAUGUAGAAAAAAAACCACCAAAAAUUGAAAAUAAAGUUGAUAACAUAGAAUGGCUGGAAGCGAUGGCAGUAGCUAUGAAAAUUGCUAGAGAAAAAGAACAACAGAAAUUAAGGAGAGACUUAAGCAAACUGGCAUUUCAAGCAACAAAAAGAUGACGAACUUAAUUAAUUUUUGUAUUUUUUAACUUAAUAAUAAAUAUUCU
Molecule: long non-coding RNA, 407 nt
Filed under: Androctonus crassicauda
Lineage: Eukaryota; Metazoa; Arthropoda; Arachnida; Scorpiones; Buthidae
Source: RNAcentral